RNAcentral lists this ribosomal RNA (261 nucleotides) under uncultured archaeon. RNAcentral's name for it is "partial 16S ribosomal RNA". It matches the Rfam family "Archaeal small subunit ribosomal RNA", at positions 748 to 1008 of the family's 1478-position model. The record is from RNAcentral.
CAGCCGUAAACUAUGCGCGUUAGGUGUAUCGGUGACCACGAGUCACCGAGGUGCCGAAGGGAAACCGUGAAACGUGCCGCCUGGGAAGUACGGUCGCAAGGCUGGAACUUAAAGGAAUUGGCGGGGGAGCACCACAACAGGUGGAGCCUGCGGUUUAAUUGGACUCAACGCCGGGAAGCUCACCGGAUAGGACAGCAGAAUGAUUGCCGGGCUGAAGACCCUGCAUGACUAGCUGAGAGGUGGUGCAUGGCGUGUGACUGU